UACAGAGGGUGCGAGCGUUAAUCGGAAUUACUGGGCGUAAAGGGUGCGUAGGCGGUUAGAUAAGUCGGAUGUGAAAUCCCUGGGCUUAACCUGGGAACUGCAUUUGAUACUGUUUAGCUAGAGUAUGGUAGAGGAAAGCGGAAUUUCCGGUGUAGCGGUGAAAUGCGUAGAUAUCGGAAGGAACACCAGUGGCGAAGGCGGCUUUCUGGACUAAUACUGACGCUGAGGCACGAAAGCAUGGGGAGCAAACAGG
Molecule: ribosomal RNA, 253 nt
Filed under: uncultured bacterium
Lineage: Bacteria
Description: partial 16S ribosomal RNA
Rfam family: Bacterial small subunit ribosomal RNA
Source: RNAcentral